Molecule: ribosomal RNA, 515 nt
Filed under: uncultured bacterium
Lineage: Bacteria
Description: partial 16S ribosomal RNA
Rfam family: Bacterial small subunit ribosomal RNA
Source: RNAcentral
GAUGAACGCUGGCGGCGUGCCUAAUACAUGCAAGUCGAGCGAAUGGAUUAAGAGCUUGCUCUUAUGAAGUUAGCGGCGGACGGGUGAGUAACACGUGGGUAACCUGCCCAUAAGACUGGGAUAACUCCGGGAAACCGGGGCUAAUACCGGAUAACAUUUUGAACCGCAUGGUUCGAAAUUGAAAGGCGGCUUCGGCUGUCACUUAUGGAUGGACCCGCGUCGCAUUAGCUAGUUGGUGAGGUAACGGCUCACCAAGGCAACGAUGCGUAGCCGACCUGAGAGGGUGAUCGGCCACACUGGGACUGAGACACGGCCCAGACUCCUACGGGGGGCAGCAGUAGGGAAUCUUCCGCAAUGGACGAAAGUCUGACGGAGCAACGCCGCGUGAGUGAUGAAGGCUUUCGGGUCGUAAAUCUCUGUUGUUAGGGAAGAACAAGUGCUAGUUGAAUAAGCUGGCACCGUGACGGUACCUAACCAGAAAGCCACGGCUAACUACGUGCCAGCCGCCGCAGUAA